GUGUACAACCAUGCUACCCUGAACAAGCCCGAUCCCGUCUGAUCUUGGAAGCUAAGUAGGGUUAGGCCUGGUUACUACCUGAAUGGGAGGCCACCUAGGAAGACCAAGAGCUGUAGGAA
Molecule: ribosomal RNA, 119 nt
Filed under: Pteropus alecto (black flying fox)
Lineage: Eukaryota; Metazoa; Chordata; Mammalia; Chiroptera; Pteropodidae
Source: RNAcentral